UAUUCUUUGCCGCCGGGCAGAGAUAACUUAUAAGCAUUCGGAUUUCAUACCAUUAGGCCUUUGAAGGUAUGAAAGUCGGGUGAUUUUUUAU
RNAcentral lists this non-coding RNA (91 nucleotides) under unclassified sequences. The record is from RNAcentral.